GAUGAACGCUAGCUACAGGCUUAACACAUGCAAGUCGAGGGGCAGCAUGAACUUAGCUUGCUAAGUUUGAUGGCGACCGGCGCACGGGUGAGUAACACGUAUCCAACCUGCCGAUGACUCGGGGAUAGCCUUUCGAAAGAAGAUUAAUACCCGAUGGCAUAGUUCUUCCGCAUGGUAGAACUAUUAAAGAAUUUCGGCCAUCGAUGGGGAUGCGUUCCAUUAGGUUGUUGGCGGGGUAACGGCCCACCAAGCCUUCGAUGGAUAGGGGUUCUGAGAGGAAGGUCCCCCACAUUGGAACUGAGACACGGUCCAAACUCCUACGGGAGGCAGCAGUGAGGAAUAUUGGUCAAUGGGCGAGAGCCUGAACCAGCCAAGUAGCGUGAAGGAUGACUGCCCUAUGGGUUGUAAACUUCUUUUAUAAAGGAAUAAAGUCGGGUAUGGAUACCCGUUUGCAUGUACUUUAUGAAUAAGGNUCGGCUAACUCCGU
RNAcentral lists this ribosomal RNA (487 nucleotides) under uncultured bacterium. RNAcentral describes it as "bacterial SSU rRNA". It matches the Rfam family "Bacterial small subunit ribosomal RNA", at positions 28 to 506 of the family's 1533-position model. The record is from RNAcentral.